UACGGAGGGUGCGAGCGUUGUCCGGAAUCACUGGGCGUAAAGGGCGCGUAGGUGGCGCUGCAAGUCGGUGGUGAAAGCUCGACGCUUAACGUCGAGUCGGCAAUCGAAACUGCAGGGCUCGAGCACUGUAGGGGCAGAUGGAAUUCCGGGUGUAGCGGUGGAAUGCGUAGAGAUCCGGAAGAACACCGGUGGCGAAGGCGGUCUGCUGGGCAGUUGCUGACACUGAGGCGCGACAGCGUGGGGAGCAAACAGG
RNAcentral lists this ribosomal RNA (253 nucleotides) under uncultured bacterium. RNAcentral's name for it is "partial 16S ribosomal RNA". It matches the Rfam family "Bacterial small subunit ribosomal RNA", at positions 524 to 776 of the family's 1533-position model. The record is from RNAcentral.